RNAcentral lists this long non-coding RNA (334 nucleotides) under Homo sapiens (human). RNAcentral's name for it is "HSALNT0211568". Lineage: Eukaryota; Metazoa; Chordata; Mammalia; Primates; Hominidae. The record is from RNAcentral.
CUGGAGAUGCUCUCUGCACAUGCUGCCACCACAGGGGAUGAGGAAGAGGUGGCAUCGGUGAUUCAAGGCUGUUUUUUCCACCUCUUCAGUGCCUCAUACUGUGAUACAAACCAAAACCAGAUUCAGGAGGUACAUGUGCAGGUAUGAUGACUGGGUAUACUCCAUGAUGCUGAGGUUUGCAGUACCAAUGAUCCUGUCACCUACGUACUGAUUAUAGUCCCCAGUAGUUUUUCAACACUUGCUCUCCUCUCUCCCUCCCCCACCAGUAGUCCCCAGUUUAUACUGUUGCCAUCUCUAUGUCCAUGAGUACUCAAUGUUUAGCUCCCACUUAUAA